Long non-coding RNA from Quercus lobata, 918 nucleotides. RefSeq lists it as uncharacterized. The transcript is spliced from 2 exons. Lineage: Eukaryota; Viridiplantae; Streptophyta; Magnoliopsida; Fagales; Fagaceae. The record is from RefSeq and is a predicted model, not a curated record.
UUUCACUCCACAAUCACCAAUCCAAGGAAAUAAAAACAACAUAAAUCAAUAGUUAUAUAGAUACCAGCUAAAAAAUUGAAAGUAAAGUAGUCCACCAUUUCAACAUUAAACAGCAAGAACUCAGAGGUUGUUAUGACAUGCUCCCACCAUCCCCCAAAAAAAGGACAGCAGUUUCAAUUUAACAAAUAUAGUGCAUAGAUCCUUCUAUAAGGAAUUGUUUUGUUCUAAUAUUUAUACAAUAAGAAAGACAGAGAGAGAAGGAUAUUGACGCAAUAUAUAUAUAUAUAUAUAUAUAUUAAUGAUAUGCCUAAGUGAUAUCACACCAUUCUAUACCAACAUAUAGUUAGUUUACCACUAGAUAUAAUGACAUAGACUUCAUGCUUUCAUCAGACACAUAAAUAUGCAUGAAAGAGAUACGCAGAUUUUCCAAGUGAAUGGGCUAUUCUAAAUUUGAAACUACGACAUAAAAUUUUAGUUAUUUUAUUGGUAAGUUACACAAACAGCCAAUGGAUCUUAAAGCUAGGACCUCACCCUUCACCUUUCUCUUUUUUUUUUUAAGAGGUAAAUAAUAAUUCUAUUGACAAAAGACUACUUCAGGUGCACUGAACACCAAUAAGUAUAAAGAAUUACAAUGAAAUAGUAUGUAGAAAAAGGCAAAGACUCUAUAAACUCUCCAAUGGAGUUACUAUUAAACGUUGCUAUCAAUUGAGUCCCUGUGCUUUCUACGUCCUUAAAAGUACAACAAUUCCGUUCCCUCCAUAAUGUCCACAUCAAAAUCUAAGCACUUAGCUCCCAACACCCAACUACUUGAGCUCAACAACACAAUCAUUCAUUCACACAACAAAACCCAACAACAUGUAAAAAAGGAAACAUCAAAACACACUAAAGAAGUGAAAUUUUAAUUAGCAAUUCUCACAA